Molecule: small RNA, 141 nt
Filed under: Fusobacterium mortiferum
Lineage: Bacteria; Fusobacteriati; Fusobacteriota; Fusobacteriia; Fusobacteriales; Fusobacteriaceae
Description: c-di-AMP sequence
Rfam family: c-di-AMP riboswitch aptamer (ydaO/yuaA leader)
About the family: This family represents a conserved RNA structure found upstream of the ydaO and yuaA genes in Bacillus subtilis and related genes in other bacteria.
Source: RNAcentral
AUGUGCAAAUUGCUUAAUUUAUAUCUUUAUUAUGAUAUAAAGCGGGGGACCCACUUUUUUGGGGCGAAUUUCCUUUAUGGAAUAGGAUACUUUUCAAUCCGAGUCCGGCAGCUAACCUCGUCAGCAUUGAAAAGAGUUGAG